This 370-nucleotide ribosomal RNA is filed under the name uncultured organism. Its description in RNAcentral is "partial 16S ribosomal RNA". It matches the Rfam family "Bacterial small subunit ribosomal RNA", at positions 527 to 896 of the family's 1533-position model. The record is from RNAcentral.
GGAGGAUGCAAGCGUUAUCCGGAUUCAUUGGGUUUAAAGGGUGCGCAGGUGGGCUUGUAAGUCAGUGGUGAAAUACUGCCGCUUAACGGUAGAACUGCCAUUGAUACUGCGAGUCUUGAGUAUGGUUGAGGUAGGCGGAAUGUGUUGUGUAGCGGUGAAAUGCAUAGAUAUGACACAGAACGCCGAUUGCGAAGGCAGCUUACUAAGCCAUUACUGACGCUGAGGGCACGAAAGCGUGGGGAGCGAACAGGAUUAGAUACCCUGGUAGUCCCACGCCCGUAAACGAUGUUCACUCGCUGUCUGCGAUACACAGUAGGCGGCUGAGCGAAAGCAUUAAGUGAACCACCUGGGGAGUACGAUCGCAAGGCUG